CCUACGGGUGGCAGCAGUGGGGAAUAUUGCACAAUGGGGGAAACCCUGAUGCAGCGACGCCGCGUGGGUGACGAAGUAUUUCGGUAUGUAAAGCCCUAUCAGCAGGGACGAAGAUGACAGUACCUGACUAAGACGCCCCGGCUAACUCCGUGCCAGCCGCCGCGGUAAUACGUAGGGGGCAAGCGUUAUCCGGAUUUACUGGGUGUAAAGGGAGCGUAGGUGGCAUGGCAAGCCAGAAGUGAAAACCCGGGGCUUAACCCCGCGGAUUGCUUUUGGAACUGUCAGGCUGGAGUGCAGGAGGGGCAGGCGGAAUUCCUGGUGUAGCGGUGAAAUGCGUAGAUAUCAGGAGGAACACCGGUGGCGUAAGCGCUUUACUGGGCCGUAAUUGACGCUGAGGAACGAAAGCCAGGGUAGCAAAUGGGAUUAGAUACCCCGGUAGUC
Molecule: ribosomal RNA, 441 nt
Filed under: uncultured bacterium
Lineage: Bacteria
Description: partial 16S ribosomal RNA
Rfam family: Bacterial small subunit ribosomal RNA
Source: RNAcentral